Molecule: ribosomal RNA, 253 nt
Filed under: uncultured bacterium
Lineage: Bacteria
Description: partial 16S ribosomal RNA
Rfam family: Bacterial small subunit ribosomal RNA
Source: RNAcentral
UACGUAGGGGGCUAGCGUUGUCCGGAAUCAUUGGGCGUAAAGAGCUCGUAGGCGGCCAGAUAAGUCCGGUGUGAAAGUCAAAGGCUCAACCUUUGAAUGCCGCUGGAAACUGUCUGGCUAGAGUCCGGGAGGGGCGAGUGGAAUUCCUGGUGUAGCGGUGAAAUGCGCAGAUAUCAGGAGGAACACCAAUGGCGAAGGCAGCUCGCUGGAACGGUACUGACGCUGAGGCGCGAAAGCGUGGGGAGCAAACAGG